RNAcentral lists this transfer RNA (77 nucleotides) under Rhodobacteraceae bacterium WD3A24. Its description in RNAcentral is "tRNA-Arg". It matches the Rfam family "tRNA". Rfam says of the family: Transfer RNA (tRNA) molecules are approximately 80 nucleotides in length. Their secondary structure includes four short double-helical elements and three loops (D, anti-codon, and T loops). Further hydrogen bonds mediate the characteristic L-shaped molecular structure. tRNAs have two regions of fundamental functional importance: the anti-codon, which is responsible for specific mRNA codon recognition, and the 3' end, to which the tRNAs corresponding amino acid is attached (by aminoacyl-tRNA synthetases). tRNAs cope with the degeneracy of the genetic code in two manners: having more than one tRNA (with a specific anti-codon) for a particular amino acid; and 'wobble' base-pairing, i.e. permitting non-standard base-pairing at the 3rd anti-codon position. The record is from RNAcentral. Lineage: Bacteria; Pseudomonadati; Pseudomonadota; Alphaproteobacteria; Rhodobacterales; Paracoccaceae.
GGCCCCGUAGCUCAGCCGGAUAGAGCAGCAGAUUCCUAAUCUGGAGGUCGCAGGUUCAAGUCCUGCCGGGGUCGCCA